This 218-nucleotide unclassified non-coding RNA is filed under the name uncultured Thelephoraceae. RNAcentral's name for it is "sequence contains ITS2". Lineage: Eukaryota; Fungi; Basidiomycota; Agaricomycetes; Thelephorales; Thelephoraceae. The record is from RNAcentral.
ACACCUCAACUCUCAUGGUUUGCCAUGAUGAGCUUGGACUCUGGGGGUUUUGCUGGCCUGCUGUCGGCUCCUCUGAAAUGAAUCAGCUUGCCAGUGUUUGGUGGCAUCAUGGGUGUGAUAACUAUCUACGCUUGUGGUUGUCUGCCAGGUAACCUUCAGUGAUGGGGGUUCGCUGGUGCUUAUAAACGUCUCUCCUCAGCGAAGACAGCUCUUUGAAU